This 253-nucleotide ribosomal RNA is filed under the name uncultured bacterium. RNAcentral describes it as "partial 16S ribosomal RNA". It matches the Rfam family "Bacterial small subunit ribosomal RNA", at positions 524 to 776 of the family's 1533-position model. The record is from RNAcentral.
UACGGAGGGUGCUAGCGUUGUUCGGAAUUAUUGGGCGUAAAGGGCAGGUAGGUGGUCUCUCAAGUCCACUGUGAAAGCCCUGGGCUCAACCCAGGAAGUGCACACGAAACUGUCAGGCUUGAAUAUGGAAGAGGGUCGCGGAAUUCCCGGUGUAGAGGUGAAAUUCGUAGAUAUCGGGAGGAACACCAGUGGCGAAGGCGGCGACCUGGGCCAAUAUUGACGCUGAGGUGCGAAAGCGUGGGGAGCAAACAGG